Anolis carolinensis (green anole) is the source of this 2636-nucleotide long non-coding RNA. RefSeq lists it as uncharacterized. The transcript has 3 exons. Lineage: Eukaryota; Metazoa; Chordata; Lepidosauria; Squamata; Anolidae. The record is from RefSeq and is a predicted model, not a curated record.
UGUUAAAUUUUCUUUGAUUUGUGUUGUAUUAUAUUUAUACACUGUGUAUUUGCAAUGUGCACUGAAGUGGCCAAACUGCAAGCCGCUGUGAGUCCCCUCCAGGGUGAGAAGAGCAGGAUAGAAAUAUAGUAAAUAAAUAAAUUAUCUUGUCCCCUUCCAGACUAUGGAGGAGCCCUCUCUCUGGGUGCACAUCAUCAAAGUGAGGGAAGUAUCCAAGGUAAAGAAGGACACCUCUCCCUCCCAGGAACCUUCUAGAAAUACAGGCAGUCCCCAAGACAAACAAGAUAGGUUCUGUAGGUUUGUUCUUAAGUUGAAUUUGUUUGUAAGUUGGAACAGGUACAUGUUUAAAGUGCAACUCCAGCUGAGAAAGAGAGAGAGAGAGAGAGAGAGAGAGAGAGAGAGAGAGAGAGAGCGCUAGUGUUUUGGAUAGCAUAGAGAAGGGUUAACAUCCCUGUGGUGUUUGUUUUGCUGUCUACUCGUUCGAAGAUUUCACCUCUCCUUCCUUAGAGGUUUUUACACAGGGGCUGGAUGACCAUCUGUCAGGAGGGCUCUCUUUCUGUGUUUCUGCAGGGCAGAAAGGGGUCAGACAGGAUGGCCCUUGGAGUCCCUUCUAACUCUAUGACUCCAGGAAAUGGGUCUCAUGGGGACAAACCCCACCCACUGGACCCUACGCUCCCGUGCAUCUCCCUCAACUUUUUUCCUGACAGACUUCAGGCAAAGUCGGGGUUAGAAGUCAAUAAUGAGAAUGAAUUAAUGUGAUUGACAAAUGAACAGGCCUUAAACUAUGAUUUGAAUUUUCUUAAUUUCAAUUGGUGUUUUAAUAAUUGAUGUUUUAAUUGUCUCAAUCUUAAUUGUAAUUGUUUAUUUUGGAAUUGUGUGUUGUUGGCAUCAAAUUGUUGCCUGUUGUAAGGCUGCCUCGAGUCCCCUUCAGGGUGAGAAGGGUGGGAUACAAAUGUGGGAAAUACAUAAAAGGGGCUCUGAAAGCCAUCCAGUCCAACCCCUUCUGGCUCCUCUUUCUUCCUUCUGGAGAGAGGGACCAGUGGGGUGCCAUAAAGAGGGUCCUGUCCUGGGGCUUUCAGAGCUAUGCAGCAUCUUCAUUAAAUGACGGAAUAGAAGGGAUGCUUCUUGGAUUUUCAGGUGAGACCAAAUUGGGAGAGACCGUGCAUACGUAACCGCACUCCAUGCAGUCGUGCCAGCCACGUGACCUUGGAGGUGUCUAUGGACAACACAGGCUCUUCGGUUUAGAAAUGGAGAUGAGCACCAACCCCUAGAGUCGGAAACAAGUAGACUUAAUGUCAGGGGAAAACAUUUACCUUUAUUAACAAAGCAGUGGGUUUUAGCUGGCUAAAUGUUUGGGUUAGAUUAGAGAUUCGUGACUUACUGAACUUGAAGGGGCAUAACUUAAGAUGGAUGGCAUGCAUAUUUAUGGUAUGAAAAAGAUAAUGUAAAUAAAAACUUUAAUAGGCAUACAAUAAGAGCCAAUCUCCUAGCAAUUUGGACAUACAAGGAGGAGAUGGAAUUGAUGACCCCUGUAUUGGAAGCAGUACUAAGAUCAACAGGGCUCAAAGGAAGUUGGAAUCCCUUCAGAGCUGUUCCUGUAGGAAGGGGCGGCCCAGGACCUCAAUACAGAGAAGUACUUCCUUACCAGGUUCAGGGUCACAUGGCAGGCAGAGGUCCCCUCCCCCAAUUGAGGCCAACGGGGCCUCAACCUGCAGCCCCAUCCCAGGAGGCUUUGGGGGGCUCCAUCUGAGAGAGAGGGAAGGACUUCUUCUGACCUUGCCUUCUUGUCUCUCUCUCCUUACAGUGUCUAUGAGCUCCUUCAGAAGACAUCAAUGCUCCCUGAGCCACGAGAAAGCAGAAGACCCGGCCCUGCAUCCUAGGAGAUGGUCUUCCCUGGACCCAGAGCAGUGGUCUCUUUGGCCACUAGAAUGUGAAAGAACACCUGCACCAUCUUUGUCAGCUGGCCUGUAGUCCCUCCUCUGCAGUCCCUCCUCGGCAGAGGUCAUGUGGGCAGUGGACUACGUGGCCUGAAAACAUCUGAAGAUGGCCACGGACCACUUUCUGGAGUCCAAUGACAGGAAAGAGAGCUGGGCCUGAGGGUACCCUUCCCCUGUCCCCAUGGGGCCCUGAGCGGUCUCCCCACAGGGAUGGAGACAAGGCUGACCCUGACCAUGGAUCCCUCUUCCCUCUUCCCUACAGGGCUUGUGGUGAAUUGGUAUGCAGCAUACUCAAUUCACCCUAUUGUAACCUGGAGGCGGCACUUGACCUGUUCCUGUCCAAGGUGAAGGAGGGCCCUUGGCUGGCCCAGGAAGGCAAGGACCAGGGUGGCCCCACUUUGGAUGCGGCCACAGUAGGGACAUCCCCACCUACACUCUGUGUUUGGGGGGCUGGGAAAGGUGAACGGGACCCCUUCUUUCUUGGCCUUCAGCAGUAGCACUCCUUGCAUUUGAGCCUCCUUUCUCUCUGCAGGCAAGGGCAGCGCGGGCCAUUGGUGGGAUCAUCAGACACAUCAGAAAUAUCACUCGCCUGGAGGUGUUGUUCCUGGAGCUUCUGAUCGCCUUGGUGACCAACUUCAUCAGGGUCACAAGGCUUGGAUUCGAGGCACCCAGCAGGUACCGGAGCAGCAGCUACAUUCC